AUUGAACGCUGGCGGCAGGCCUAACACAUGCAAGUAGAGCGGAGCGGCGGACGGGUGAGUAAUGCCUAGGAAUCUGCCUGGUAGUGGGGGAUAACGUCCGGAAACGGGCGCUAAUCCCGCAUACUAUAAGAUUCGCCUAGGUCGGAUUAGCUAGGUGGUGGGGUAAAGGCCUACCAAGGCGACGAUCCGUAACUGGUCUGAGAGGAUGAUCAGUCAAACUGGAACUGAGACACGGUGCAGACGCCUACGGGAGGCAGCAGUGGGGAAUAUUGGACAAUGGGCGAAAGCCUGAUCCAGCCAUGCCGCGUGUGUGAAGAAGGUCUUCGGAUUGUAAAGCACUUUAAGUUGGGAGGCGUUACCAACAGAAUAAGCACCGGCUAACUUCGUGCCAGCCGCCGCGGUAAUAC
Molecule: ribosomal RNA, 407 nt
Filed under: uncultured bacterium
Lineage: Bacteria
Description: partial 16S ribosomal RNA
Rfam family: Bacterial small subunit ribosomal RNA
Source: RNAcentral